CAACUCUCUGCUGCAUUGCAUUGCAUCUAUGGCAGAGGACAAGUACAAUCGAAAAAAUCUGGCGGUGAAGAGGAUAUUGCAAGAAGUCAGAGAGAUGCAAUCUAAUCCUUCAGAUGAUUUCAUGAGCCUACGUCUAGAGGUAAUUUUUUCUAAUUAAAAACAAUUUUCAGUUAUAUUUGAUGAAUUUCUUAUAAUUUUUGCUAUUGUUUCUAUUCUAUUGUUGUUCGAUAUUGCUUGGUUUACCUGGAUCUAGAUCUUGUUCAUGAGAUAUUGAUUGUUGAAUUUUUAGGAAUUACGUUGGAAACAUGGUUCGCAACUUUCAUUUUUUGCUGAAGA
This 336-nucleotide long non-coding RNA is filed under the name Olea europaea subsp. europaea. The record is from RNAcentral. Lineage: Eukaryota; Viridiplantae; Streptophyta; Magnoliopsida; Lamiales; Oleaceae.